AGUGGAGGUCAAAGUAGAAUCUGCUGUUGAUGUGGAGCCUCCAGUUCACACUCGUUAUCCUUUAUAUUUGUCCCUGAAUGACACAAUAAGUGAGAACUGUCACUGUUUUUAUUUAAUGUCCAUGUGUAAAAGCCUAAUAUCAACUUUUUAGCUAGUGUUUAUCAUGAAACAGCAAUGUUUCAACUUUUUUUGCUUUCUUUGCUUAAAUCUCUUCCAACACCAACUCUUUGCUUUGAUCCAAACCCAAAUUAAAAACAAAUAUCGAUCGACUCACACACAGGAAAAUCCAUCUUUGAUGAAAACAGCGAGUUAUGUUUUAAAAGGAGCUGUUGAGGAAAGUGUGUGUGAGCAGAUGAUGAUUCAUUAUUAUCGUUAAAGACAUCUGACCUGUGGAAUGGAAAAAAUACAUUUAGUGAAGUCUAUAUAUUCUUUUUAAAUUGUUAAGAAAGUUCUGUGUUUUAUGUGGAACGUUUUCAUUAGAAAUGUCAAAGUUCGAGCUGUUGGGUCAGAUUCUUACCAGAAAAAGAACCUGGAUUGAAUCCAGACCCAAAGCUGGACAUUUUCUGUUAUAACAGCUCACACACACACAAGUGUUAUGGCUGUUUUUGAGACUUGAGUCUCUCCCUCUCUCCUGCUGCUUUCUUGCUCUCUCUCUCUCUCUCUCUCUGCCUCAUGUCGUCCCAACCAAAACAGGCCCAGCACACGCCAUGUUUAACUCUGGAGUAAACUGUAUAAUUUCACCUCCCCUCUCCGCUGCCAAGUCUAAACACCAUCAGAGGCAGGUUGUGUGUGUGUUGGCCUGUGAGGUCACACAGACCAUCCACUUCACUGAACCUAAACAGAGCCUGCAGCUUAGUGACAAACAGCGAAGCCGUCGUGAUCUGAUGGAUGAAGACAACGGAUGUCCAACAGAUUGGCGGUUGCUUCGGCUGAGGAGCCGAGCCGACGGCUCGCCAAUGUCUUUCAUCCCCAGAUCAAAAAGACUUGUGGAGCCCUCACUCUGCAUCAGUGUCUGGCAGGGUGUACAACCUAAUAUGUCUGGGUGUGUUGUAAAUGACUGGUGA
RNAcentral lists this long non-coding RNA (1064 nucleotides) under Betta splendens (Siamese fighting fish). RNAcentral's name for it is "lncRNA (ENSBSLG00000018016.1)". The record is from RNAcentral. Lineage: Eukaryota; Metazoa; Chordata; Actinopteri; Anabantiformes; Osphronemidae.